RNAcentral lists this transfer RNA (74 nucleotides) under Chloroflexota bacterium. Its description in RNAcentral is "tRNA-Gly". It matches the Rfam family "tRNA". Rfam says of the family: Transfer RNA (tRNA) molecules are approximately 80 nucleotides in length. Their secondary structure includes four short double-helical elements and three loops (D, anti-codon, and T loops). Lineage: Bacteria; Bacillati; Chloroflexota. The record is from RNAcentral.
GCGGGCAUGGUGAAGGGGUAUCAUAGGUGCUUCCCAAGCAUCUGGCACGGGUUCGAAUCCCGUUGCCCGCUCCA